GGAGCAGGGAUAGUGUGUAUCGACGAUGUGCAAAUUUUCCGGUGCACUAUGUUCGAAAGAUUUUCCUGCAAAAUUGAUUCGGGGAAGGUGGGCAGUUGUGUUUCAUAUCCAUCGUUGAUACUUUUCAACAAUCAUCUUCCCCAUAUUG
Molecule: small nucleolar RNA, 148 nt
Organism: Hibiscus syriacus
Lineage: Eukaryota; Viridiplantae; Streptophyta; Magnoliopsida; Malvales; Malvaceae
Product: small nucleolar RNA snoR135
Exons: 1
Source: RefSeq, a predicted model, not a curated record